AUACGUAGGGUGCAAGCGUUAAUCGGAAUUACUGGGCGUAAAGCGUGCGCAGGCGGUUUUGUAAGACAGAGGUGAAAUUCCCGGGCUCAACCUGGGGACUGCCUUUGUGACUGGAAGGCUAGAGUACGGCAGAGGGGGAUGGAAUUCCGCGGGUAGCAGUGAAAUGCGUAGAUAUGCGGAGGAACACCGAUGGCGAAGGCAAUCCCCUGGGCCUGUACUGACGCUCAUGCACGAAAGCGUGGGGAGCAAACAGGAUUAGAUACCCUGGUAGUCCACGCCCUAAACGAUGUCAACUGGUUGUUGGGUCUUCAUUGACUCAGUAACGAAGCUAACGCGUGAAGUUGACCGCCUGGGGAGUACGGCCGCAAGGUUGAAACUCAAAUGAAUUGACGGGG
RNAcentral lists this ribosomal RNA (395 nucleotides) under uncultured bacterium. RNAcentral describes it as "partial 16S ribosomal RNA". It matches the Rfam family "Bacterial small subunit ribosomal RNA", at positions 523 to 918 of the family's 1533-position model. The record is from RNAcentral.